GACGAACGCUGGCGGCGUGCUUAACACAUGCAAGUCGAACGGUGAAGGGAUCAGCUUGCUGGUUCUGGAUGAGUGGCGAACGGGUGAGUAACACGUGAGUAACCUGCCCCCUUCUUCUGGAUAACCGCAUGAAAGUGUGGCUAAUACGGGAUAUUCUGCGCCUGCUGCAUGGUGGGUGGGGGAAAGAUAUUGUUUCGGUGGGGGAUGGGCUCGCGGCCUAUCAGCUUGUUGGUGGGGUGAUGGCCUACCAAGGCGGUGACGGGUAGCCGACGUGGGGGGGGGGCACGUUGGACUUGGACUACGACACAGACCAGAAUCGUACGGAGCGGAGCGGUGUGGAAUAUUACACGCUGAACGCUAGCCUGAUGCAGCCGCGCCGCGUGAGAGAUGGUGGCCUUCGUGUUGUGAACCUAUUACGCCAGUGAAGCAGGCCUGUCCCUUGUGGAUGGCUUGACGGUAGCUAGACAAGAAGCGCCGGCUAACUACGUG
This 489-nucleotide ribosomal RNA is filed under the name uncultured bacterium. Its description in RNAcentral is "partial 16S ribosomal RNA". It matches the Rfam family "Bacterial small subunit ribosomal RNA", at positions 28 to 507 of the family's 1533-position model. The record is from RNAcentral.